RNAcentral lists this ribosomal RNA (468 nucleotides) under uncultured bacterium. Its description in RNAcentral is "partial 16S ribosomal RNA". It matches the Rfam family "Bacterial small subunit ribosomal RNA", at positions 28 to 507 of the family's 1533-position model. The record is from RNAcentral.
GACGAACGCUGGCGGCGUGCUUAACACAUGCAAGUCGAACGGAAAGGCCCUGCUUUUGUGGGGUGCUCGAGUGGCGAACGGGUGAGUAACACGUGAGUAACCUGCUCUUGACUUUGGGAUAACUUCAGGAAACUGGGGCUAAUACCGGAUAGGAGCUCCUGCUGCAUGGUGGGGGUUGGAAAGUUUCGGCGGUUGGGGAUGGACUCGCGGCUUAUCAGCUUGUUGGUGGGGUAGUGGCUUACCAAGGCUUUGACGGGUAGCCGGCCUGAGAGGGUGACCGGCCACAUUGGGACUGAGAUACGGCCCAGACUCCUAAGGGAGGAAGCAGUGGGGAAUAUUGCACAAUGGGCGGAAGCCUGAUGCAGCAACGCAGCGUGCGGGAUGACGGCCUUCGGGUUGUAAACCGCUUUCGCCUGUGACGAAGCGUGAGUGACGGUAAUGUGUAAAGAAGCACCGGCUAACUACGUG